Molecule: transfer RNA, 75 nt
Filed under: Bacteroidaceae bacterium
Lineage: Bacteria; Pseudomonadati; Bacteroidota; Bacteroidia; Bacteroidales; Bacteroidaceae
Description: tRNA-Thr
Rfam family: tRNA
About the family: Transfer RNA (tRNA) molecules are approximately 80 nucleotides in length.
Source: RNAcentral
GCAGAAGUGGCUCAAUGGCAGAGCAAAUGACUUGUAAUCAUUCGGUUGUAGGUUCGACUCCUAUCUUCUGCUCCA